Sinocyclocheilus grahami is the source of this 117-nucleotide ribosomal RNA. The record is from Ensembl. NCBI's taxonomy places the organism in Eukaryota, Metazoa, Chordata, Actinopteri, Cypriniformes, Cyprinidae.
GCCACAGCCAUAUCACCCUUUAGCCCAAGACUGCUUGCCCACUGAAGCUAAGCAGGGUUGAGCCUGGUCAGUACCUGGAUGGGAGACCUCCUGGGAAAACUAGGUUUGCUGCUGGAA